This 440-nucleotide ribosomal RNA is filed under the name uncultured bacterium. RNAcentral describes it as "bacterial SSU rRNA". It matches the Rfam family "Bacterial small subunit ribosomal RNA", at positions 338 to 793 of the family's 1533-position model. The record is from RNAcentral.
CCUACGGGAGGCUGCAGCGGAGAAUCUUGCGCAAUGGGCGAAAGCCUGACGCAGCAACGCCGCGUGCGGGAUGAAGGCCUUCGGGUCGUAAACCGCUUUCAGUAGGGACGAAAACAGACGGUACCUACAGAAGAAGCACCGGCCAACUACGUGCCAGCAGCCGCGGUAACACGUAGGGUGCAAGCGUUGUCCGGAAUCAUUGGGCGUAAAGAGCUCGUAGGCGGCUUAGUAAGUCGGGUGUGAAAACCCCAGGCUCAACCUGGGGACGCCACCCGAUACUGCUAUAGCUAGAGUCCAGUAGGGGAGUGUGGAAUUCCCAGUGUAGCGGUGAAAUGCGCAGAUAUUGGGAGGAACACCAGCGGCGAAGGCGGCACUCUGGGCUGGUACUGACGCUGAGGAGCGAAAGCGUGGGUAGCGAACAGGAUUAGAUACCCCUGUAG